GGAAGGAAUAAAGGAAGGAAGGGAAGGAAGGAAGGAGAGAGUUGUUAUAAGAUGUUAUAUAUAGCUGUUUAAUUGCACUGUUAAUUCUAGGCAUGAGGAACGCUUUUCAUAUGAAGAAAGCCAUGGCAUAGUUGUUUACUUCUAGUCUAUUCUGCUGGACAUUGAGGUUUGGGUUUUGCCAAUUCCAUUAAAAUGACUAUUCCCUCCCUACUACAUAAUGAACUACUUUAAUUCCAAUAAGGCAAGCAUGAACUCAUAUGACAGAAACAGGAAGGUGAGUGGCUUUUUUUUCUUUUUUGGGCAUGUGCAUAGUGUUUUAUUUUUUUUUAACUUUUGAAAGUACUGACUCAAAUCCGUACCUGUAGAUAUUUACGUGUGUGUAGACCCAGGCCUGCUAGAGAGGGAAUUUUCAGUCAUUGCCUACUCCCAAGCCUAUGCCCACCUUCUAAAUAUUUCUACAUUUCUGUCAAAACUAAGGAAUAUAUUUCAGCAUGGUGGGCCAUUAAGUGGCACUUUCAUUGCUUUCACAGCCACCCCUGUCCUUGGACGCUCUAUGCAAUGUCCAUUAAAGUACAGGAAGUCUGCCAGAGGGAGAGACUUGAGAAGUACACAGCUACAAUUGAGGCACCCUAUGGGCCUGAGUUUCUUUUCCUCAGAGUUUCCGUUUGAUACUUUCUAUCUUGCACAGUCUCUGCUCUGAACUCCAGGAGCACCGAUGGACAAUACUUGGUACUGAUCUUGGUACUUCUCAGCCUCUGUCUCACCUGAUGGAUAAAAUGUUUCCUGGGUAUGAGGCUUAUCUUUGCAAGUACGUUGUAAGCUCUGCCACCUCCCUACACCUCCAGACAGCAGUAACAAUGAUGAUACAGCACAGAAGGCCAUGGUAAUUAUUGUGGAAUUGAAUUGAGUUGGAUUGGAUUGAACUGACCAGGCUUUCUUACACUAUGUUAAGAAUAUGUUUCUUCUCAAACUGGAUUCAAGGACUCAUAUGGGAGAGCUUUAAGGCAGAUUUGAUGUGUUUAGAUGUUUGCAGGAGUGAUGCUCAAAUAAGCAACUGAGUUCCAGCAUUGGAUCUCAUGCCUUGUCUCCCUGGUCCCACCAACCUGUCCUCAAACACACAAGCCCAAACAUAACAGGAAACACAACCAGCAACUAAGUCUAUUUCUACUUCCCUAAAGAACUUUCCUCAUGCCCUCAUCCUUCCUACCCCAACACUCUGACCCCAACCAAGUGUCUUGUGACUUUCGGAAAAAUGAAAGUAUCUCCUCCUUAUUUAAAAAAAAAAAAAAAAAAAAAAGAGGAACUUCUUAAUUUGGUAACAUUAUACAUUAAAUGUAUAAUGAAGCCCUACUUACUAUCUUUUUCUCUGAAUCAUCUUCCAGCCAAGUAGGUUUAAUGUAUAUGCCCCUCCUCCAACUUAAAUAAAAUUGUGGUGAUCUGUUGUUUCCUGACAUUAUUUCAUUGUCUUGUAAUACCCCACCUCUUCUUUGCCUAUCCCAUUGCUACACAUGCAAGUGGCUCCAAUGCAAAUCCAACCUCUCACAACCAGUUUUUCCCCCGUGCUGCCUAGCCUGAGGGAACUCCACUCUCCUUGGAAAAUACAGAGCUGUAAUUUAGAGUAUAUUCAGCCAUUAAUUGUGCAGUAUCCAGUACCAUAUUUUUCUGUGUUGUCUCAGCCUGCUUUUUAAAGAUUUUAUUGUUAGCUGACUUUAGAAUUAUUUAUGCCUUAUUAAAAGAGGCUACAUUAAAAUUUCCUUAAGAAAUCCAUGACCUAUACCUGUGUUCCCCUUUGGGUCUCGCGUUCAUUCACCAUUCAACAAUUAAUACUUGAGCACCCUACCAGUGGAGUGAUUGAUGAAUAACCAAAAUAAAUUGAAUAUAUGUACAUAAUUGAAUUUAAAACCUGAUAUUUCGCAAUCCAAGUACUUUCACAUAUAACAUCUCAUUGUCCUUGUGACAUUCUUCUGAAGCAGAUGGGAAAAGGUAAUAUGUCAUGCAAAGCAUUUAAUUAGUAACUUUGACAGUGUUUCAGUGUUUCAAGCUGGCAUAUGGGG
Long non-coding RNA from Sapajus apella (tufted capuchin), 2054 nucleotides. RefSeq lists it as uncharacterized. NCBI's taxonomy places the organism in Eukaryota, Metazoa, Chordata, Mammalia, Primates, Cebidae. The record is from RefSeq and is a predicted model, not a curated record. The transcript is spliced from 2 exons.